GACGAACGCUGGCGGCGUGCUUAACACAUGCAAGUCGAACGGAAAGGCCCUGCUUUUGUGGGGUGCUCGAGUGGCGAACGGGUGAGUAACACGUGAGUAACCUGCCCUUGACUUUGGGAUAACUUCAGGAAACUGGGGCUAAUACCGGAUAGGAGCUCCUGCUGCAUGGUGGGGGUUGGAAAGUUUCGGCGGUUGGGGAUGGACUCGCGGCUUAUCAGCUUGUUGGUGGGGUAGUGGCUUACCAAGGCUUUGACGGGUAGCCGGCCUGAGAGGGUGACCGGCCACAUGGGGACUGAGAUAGGGCCCAGACCCCUACGGGGGGAAGGGGGGGGGAAUAUUGCACAAUGGGCGGAAGCCUGAUGCACCAACCCCGGGGGGGGGAGGACGGCCUUCGGGUUGUAAACCGUUUUCGCCUGGGACGAAGCGUGGGUGAGGGUAAUGGGUAAAGAAGCACCGGCUAACUACGU
This 467-nucleotide ribosomal RNA is filed under the name uncultured bacterium. Its description in RNAcentral is "partial 16S ribosomal RNA". It matches the Rfam family "Bacterial small subunit ribosomal RNA", at positions 28 to 506 of the family's 1533-position model. The record is from RNAcentral.